GUAGGGAAUAUUGGUCAAUGGACGAAAGUCUGAACCAGCCAUUCCGCGUGCAGGAAGAAGAUUCUAUGGAUUGUAAACUGCUUUUAGCAGAGAAGAAACGCCUUCAUUGAUGAGGGUUUGACGGUAUCUGCGGAAUAAGCACCGGCUAACUCCGUGCCAGCAGCCGCGGUAAUACGGGGGGUGCAAGCGUUAUCCGGAAUCACUGGGUUUAAAGGGUGCGUAGGCGGGAAAUUAAGUCAGUGGUGAAAGUCUGUUGCUUAACGAUAGAAUUGCCGUUGAUACUGAUUUUCUUGAAUUGGGUUGAGGUUAGCGGAAUGUGACAUGUAGCGGUGAAAUGCAUAGAUAUGUCAUGGAACACCAAUUGCGAAGGCAGCUAGCUGGGCCUUGAUUGACGCUGAGGCACGAAAGCGUGGGUAGCGAACAGGAUUAGAUACCCGUGUAGUCC
RNAcentral lists this ribosomal RNA (445 nucleotides) under uncultured bacterium. RNAcentral describes it as "bacterial SSU rRNA". It matches the Rfam family "Bacterial small subunit ribosomal RNA", at positions 354 to 796 of the family's 1533-position model. The record is from RNAcentral.